Molecule: ribosomal RNA, 460 nt
Filed under: uncultured bacterium
Lineage: Bacteria
Description: partial 16S ribosomal RNA
Rfam family: Bacterial small subunit ribosomal RNA
Source: RNAcentral
CCUACGGGUGGCAGCAGUGAGGAAUAUUGGUCAAUGGGCGCGAGCCUGAACCAGCCAAGUAGCGUGAAGGAUGACUGCCCUACGGGUUGUAAACUUCUUUUAUAAAGGAAUAAAGUGAGGCGCGUGUGCCUUUUUGUAUGUACUUUAUGAAUAAGGAUCGGCUAACUCCGUGCCAUCAGCCGCGGUAAUACGGAGGAUCCGAGCGUUAUCCGGAUUUAUUGGGUUUAAAGGGAGCGUAGAUGGGUUGUUAAGUCAGUUGUGAAAGUUUGCGGCUCAACCGUAAAAUUGCAAUUGAUACUGGCAGUCUUGAGUACAGUUGAGGUAGGCGGAAUUCGUGGUGUAGCGGUGAAAUGCUUAGAUAUCACGAAGAACUCCGAUUGCGAAGGCAGCUUACUAAACGGCCACUGACAUUGAUGUGCGAAAGUGUGGGUAUCAAACAGGAUUAGAUACCCCUGUAGUC